Molecule: ribosomal RNA, 2923 nt
Filed under: Klebsiella pneumoniae
Lineage: Bacteria; Pseudomonadati; Pseudomonadota; Gammaproteobacteria; Enterobacterales; Enterobacteriaceae
Description: 23S ribosomal RNA
Rfam family: Bacterial large subunit ribosomal RNA
Source: RNAcentral
GGGUUGUGAGGUUAAGCGACUAAGCGUACACGGUGGAUGCCCUGGCAGUCAGAGGCGAUGAAGGACGUGCUAAUCUGCGAAAAGCGUCGGUAAGGUGAUAUGAACCGUUAUAACCGGCGAUGUCCGAAUGGGGAAACCCAGUGCAAUUCGUUGCACUAUCGUUAACUGAAUACAUAGGUUAACGAGGCGAACCGGGGGAACUGAAACAUCUAAGUACCCCGAGGAAAAGAAAUCAACCGAGAUUCCCCCAGUAGCGGCGAGCGAACGGGGAGCAGCCCAGAGUCUGAAUCAGCUUGUGUGUUAGUGGAACGGUCUGGAAAGUCCGACGGUACAGGGUGAUAGUCCCGUACACCAAAAUGCACAGGCUGUGAACUCGAAGAGUAGGGCGGGACACGUGGUAUCCUGUCUGAAUAUGGGGGGACCAUCCUCCAAGGCUAAAUACUCCUGACUGACCGAUAGUGAACCAGUACCGUGAGGGAAAGGCGAAAAGAACCCCGGCGAGGGGAGUGAAAAAGAACCUGAAACCGUGUACGUACAAGCAGUGGGAGCACCUUCGGGUGUGACUGCGUACCUUUUGUAUAAUGGGUCAGCGACUUAUAUUCUGUAGCAAGGUUAACCGUAUAGGGGAGCCGCAGGGAAACCGAGUCUUAACUGGGCGUUAAGUUGCAGGGUAUAGACCCGAAACCCGGUGAUCUAGCCAUGGGCAGGUUGAAGGUUGGGUAACACUAACUGGAGGACCGAACCGACUAAUGUUGAAAAAUUAGCGGAUGACUUGUGGCUGGGGGUGAAAGGCCAAUCAAACCGGGAGAUAGCUGGUUCUCCCCGAAAGCUAUUUAGGUAGCGCCUCGUGAAUUCAUCUUCGGGGGUAGAGCACUGUUUCGGCUAGGGGGUCAUCCCGACUUACCAACCCGAUGCAAACUACGAAUACCGAAGAAUGUUAUCACGGGAGACACACGGCGGGUGCUAACGUCCGUCGUGAAGAGGGAAACAACCCAGACCGCCAGCUAAGGUCCCAAAGUCAUGGUUAAGUGGGAAACGAUGUGGGAAGGCACAGACAGCCAGGAUGUUGGCUUAGAAGCAGCCAUCAUUUAAAGAAAGCGUAAUAGCUCACUGGUCGAGUCGGCCUGCGCGGAAGAUGUAACGGGGCUAAACCAUGCACCGAAGCUGCGGCAGCGACACUAUGUGUUGUUGGGUAGGGGAGCGUUCUGUAAGCCUGCGAAGGUGUGCUGUGAGGCAUGCUGGAGGUAUCAGAAGUGCGAAUGCUGACAUAAGUAACGAUAAAGCGGGUGAAAAGCCCGCUCGCCGGAAGACCAAGGGUUCCUGUCCAACGUUAAUCGGGGCAGGGUGAGUCGACCCCUAAGGCGAGGCCGAAAGGCGUAGUCGAUGGGAAACAGGUUAAUAUUCCUGUACUUGGUGUUACUGCGAAGGGGGGACGGAGAAGGCUAUGUUAGCCGGGCGACGGUUGUCCCGGUUUAAGCAUGUAGGCUGGUUGUCCAGGCAAAUCCGGAUAAUCAAGGCUGAGGUGUGAUGACGAGGUACUACGGUGCUGAAGUAACAAAUGCCCUGCUUCCAGGAAAAGCCUCUAAGCAUCAGGUAACAUCAAAUCGUACCCCAAACCGACACAGGUGGUCAGGUAGAGAAUACCAAGGCGCUUGAGAGAACUCGGGUGAAGGAACUAGGCAAAAUGGUGCCGUAACUUCGGGAGAAGGCACGCUGGUGUGUAGGUGAAGUCCCUGCGGAUGGAGCUGAGACCAGUCGAAGAUACCAGCUGGCUGCAACUGUUUAUUAAAAACACAGCACUGUGCAAACACGAAAGUGGACGUAUACGGUGUGACGCCUGCCCGGUGCCGGAAGGUUAAUUGAUGGGGUUAUCCGUAAGGAGAAGCUCUUGAUCGAAGCCCCGGUAAACGGCGGCCGUAACUAUAACGGUCCUAAGGUAGCGAAAUUCCUUGUCGGGUAAGUUCCGACCUGCACGAAUGGCGUAAUGAUGGCCAGGCUGUCUCCACCCGAGACUCAGUGAAAUUGAACUCGCUGUGAAGAUGCAGUGUACCCGCGGCAAGACGGAAAGACCCCGUGAACCUUUACUAUAGCUUGACACUGAACAUUGAGCCUUGAUGUGUAGGAUAGGUGGGAGGCUUUGAAGCGUGGACGCCAGUCUGCGUGGAGCCAACCUUGAAAUACCACCCUUUAAUGUUUGAUGUUCUAACGUUGGCCCCUGACCGGGGUUGCGGACAGUGUCUGGUGGGUAGUUUGACUGGGGCGGUCUCCUCCCAAAGCGUAACGGAGGAGCACGAAGGUUAGCUAAUCCUGGUCGGACAUCAGGAGGUUAGUGCAAUGGCAUAAGCUAGCUUGACUGCGAGCGUGACGGCGCGAGCAGGUGCGAAAGCAGGUCAUAGUGAUCCGGUGGUUCUGAAUGGAAGGGCCAUCGCUCAACGGAUAAAAGGUACUCCGGGGAUAACAGGCUGAUACCGCCCAAGAGUUCAUAUCGACGGCGGUGUUUGGCACCUCGAUGUCGGCUCAUCACAUCCUGGGGCUGAAGUAGGUCCCAAGGGUAUGGCUGUUCGCCAUUUAAAGUGGUACGCGAGCUGGGUUUAGAACGUCGUGAGACAGUUCGGUCCCUAUCUGCCGUGGGCGCUGGAGAAUUGAGGGGGGCUGCUCCUAGUACGAGAGGACCGGAGUGGACGCAUCACUGGUGUUCGGGUUGUCAUGCCAAUGGCACUGCCCGGUAGCUAAAUGCGGAAGAGAUAAGUGCUGAAAGCAUCUAAGCACGAAACUUGCCCCGAGAUGAGUUCUCCCUGAGACUUUAAGUCUCCUGAAGGAACGUUGAAGACGACGACGUUGAUAGGCCGGGUGUGUAAGCGCAGCGAUGCGUUGAGCUAACCGGUACUAAUGAACCGUGAGGCUUAACCUUACAACGCCGAAG